GACGAACGCUGGCGGCGUGCUUAACACAUGCAAGUCGAACGGAAAGGCCCUGCUUUUGUGGGGUGCUCGAGUGGCGAACGGGUGAUUAACACGUUAGUAACCUGCCCUUGACUUUUGGAUAACUUCAUGAAACUGGGGCUAAUACCGGAUAGGAGCUCCUUCUUCAUGGUGGGGGUUGUAAAGUUUCGGCGGUUGGGGAUGGACUCGCGGCUUAUCAGCUUGUUGGUGGGGUAGUGGCUUACCAAGGCUUUGACGGGUAGCCGGCCUGAGAGGGUGUCCGGCCACAUUGGGACUGAGAUACGGCCCAGACUCCUACGGGAGGCAGCAGUGGGGAAUAUUGCACAAUGGGCGGAAGCCUGAUGCAGCAACGCCGCGUGCGGGAUGACGGCCUUCGGGUUGUAAACCGCUUUCGCCUGUGACGAAGCGUGAGUGACGGUAAUGGGUAAAGAAGCACCGGCUAACUACGUG
This 468-nucleotide ribosomal RNA is filed under the name uncultured bacterium. RNAcentral's name for it is "partial 16S ribosomal RNA". It matches the Rfam family "Bacterial small subunit ribosomal RNA", at positions 28 to 507 of the family's 1533-position model. The record is from RNAcentral.